CUUAUUUCACACCUUUCCUUGCAGGCUCUUGGUGAGCUGGGUGCUGACAUCAUCUGAUGUCGCCGGCCACUGUCAGGGCAGAAGAGGGGUUCUUUAUUCAGUACAUCGCUACCAAACAGCAACCUGAAAACGCUGCUUUUCGGCGCUGUUGCGGCUGCUGCCCUUGACGUCCCUUCUCAUCCGCUCUGGAGGCCAGCGUCCCUGCCGCCUCCUUUUCUCUCCCGAGUCAAGGCCCAGGCUGCUCUGACUGGGUCUAGAAGUUUUGAACCUGCGGUCUUCGUAAGAGAAUCGAACCUUCUAUCAGCAGGCUGUGACCCUGUCUACCUCAGAUGAUGAUGCUCUUCACUGUAAAGACUAUUUUGCCAGGUACAGUGGCACCUCGGUUCGCAAACUUAAUUUGUUCCACGAUUCUGGAAAAGAUGGCCACUGUCGUGUUUGUCUUCGGAUGCAGUUUGCAAACAAAAACAAAAUUUUGCCAAACUUUUGUUUUCGAAACAAGUUGUUCCCAAACAAAACACUUACUUUCUUUGGGUAGUGUUUGCCCAAUAAGUAAAAAAUAUUUUCUUACUUUCAA
Non-coding RNA from Heterocephalus glaber (naked mole-rat), 574 nucleotides. Lineage: Eukaryota; Metazoa; Chordata; Mammalia; Rodentia; Bathyergidae. The record is from RefSeq and is a predicted model, not a curated record.